UAUUGGUCAAUGGUCGGGAGACUGAACCAGCCAAGCCGCGUGAGGGAGGAAGGUACAGAGUAUCGUAAACCUCUUUUGCCGGGGAGUANNGCGGCGGACGUGUCCGCCGUUUGAGAGUACCGGGAGAAAAAGCAUCGGCUAACUCCGUGCCAGCAGCCGCGGUAAUACGGAGGAUGCGAGCGUUAUCCGGAUUUAUUGGGUUUAAAGGGUGCGUAGGCGGGCUUUUAGGUCAGCGGUAAAAAUUCGGGGCUCAACCCCGUCCGGCCGUUGAAACUGGGGGCCUUGAGUGGGCGAGAAGAAGGCGGAAUGCGUGGUGUAGCGGUGAAAUGCAUAGAUAUCACGCAGAACCCCGAUUGCGAAGGCAGCCUUCCGGCGCCCUACUGACGCUGAGGCACGAAAGUGCGGGGAUCG
RNAcentral lists this ribosomal RNA (411 nucleotides) under uncultured bacterium. RNAcentral's name for it is "bacterial SSU rRNA". It matches the Rfam family "Bacterial small subunit ribosomal RNA", at positions 362 to 770 of the family's 1533-position model. The record is from RNAcentral.